Molecule: ribosomal RNA, 239 nt
Filed under: uncultured bacterium
Lineage: Bacteria
Description: partial 16S ribosomal RNA
Rfam family: Bacterial small subunit ribosomal RNA
Source: RNAcentral
CUCGGCCUACGGGACGCAGCAGUAGGGAAUCUUCCACAAUGGACGAAAGUCUGAUGGAGCAACGCCGCGUGAGUGAAGAAGGGUUUCGGCUCGUAAAGCUCUGUUGGUAGGGAAGAAAGAUAGAGGUAGUAACUGGCCUUUAUUUGACGGUAAUUACUUAGAAAGUCACGGCUAACUACGUGCCAGCAGCCGCGGUAAUACGUCGGUGGCAAGCGUUGUCCGGAUUUAUUGGGCGUAAA